CCUGAACAUGAUUGUAUGUGUCCUAAGGAUUCCUCUCAGUCCUUCUGGCUCUGGGAUACAUCAUGUGGGUCUCUGCCACUAGAGGAAGCAACUCAUCAUGGCUCAGAAAUACAAAGAGUUCUAGGGGUCCUAUGGCCUCCUUUUCAGUGCUGCAGUAGAGGGUCCAUAUAGCCUUUCUCUCCCCACCAGCACUACGUGUCAAAGCCCUGGGCUUCAUGGGCACAAGGAAACCUGGACACUUGGACGGUGGACUCCUGGUGGCUGGCGGGGAAUCAUGUCUGGCAUGCUAUGGCAAUCAGUUGCAACAGGAACAGCAUGAAUGAACUCAAGGGACACACCCAGCAAGCUGCCUUGACCAGAGCCUGGAAGGAUUGGUGAGUUCCCUAGGGCACCAUGCAGUAAGCACUUGUCCUCACAGCUAAUGACCCCUAUAUGCUGUGUGUCCUCAGAUCACGUCCCAUAAUGGAGAGCUGGAGUCUAGUUCAUGAGAACCCACAGAAAUUAAGGUAAUGUG
This 514-nucleotide long non-coding RNA is filed under the name Mus musculus (house mouse). RNAcentral describes it as "lincRNA-EC195". Lineage: Eukaryota; Metazoa; Chordata; Mammalia; Rodentia; Muridae. The record is from RNAcentral.